RNAcentral lists this ribosomal RNA (425 nucleotides) under uncultured prokaryote. RNAcentral describes it as "bacterial SSU rRNA". It matches the Rfam family "Bacterial small subunit ribosomal RNA", at positions 355 to 774 of the family's 1533-position model. The record is from RNAcentral.
UGGGGAAUCAUGGUCAAUGGGCGAAAGCCUGAACCUGCGACGCCGCGUGAGUGAUGAAGGUCGUAAGAUCGUAAAACUCUUUUCAGGGAUCUUAAAGCCUGUCUGUCAACAACAGGCAGGCCUGACUCUCCCUGGAAGAAGCCCCAGCCAACUACGUGCCAGCAGCUGCGGUAAUACGGAGGGUGCGAGCGUUAUUCGGAAUUACUGGGCGUAAAGCGCGUGCAGGCGGGGAGGCAAGUCUGAUGUGAAAGCCCUGGGCUUAACCCGGGAAGUGCAUUGGAAACUGUCUUUCUUGAGUACUGGAGAUGAAAGUGGAAUUCCUGGUGUAGAGGUGAAAUUCGUAGAUAUCAGGAGGAACACCGGUGGCGAAGGCGACUUUCUGGCCCGAUACUGACGCUCAGGCGCGAAAGCGUGGGGAGCAAACA